AGAAAACAAUGUUCUUACUAGUGCUGCCGCGAUUAGUCGACUUAAUCGACCUAAUCGACCAUGAAAAUUAGUCGACGGCAUUUUUUUUAGUCGAAGAGUCGUUUUACUAUUGACCACCUAUUUAUUUUUGGUCUCCCGUCUCAAAUGGCUCACUGUAAUGUUAUUAACUCUUGAAAAGGACGACUGUCUUUGGAUGUUAAACAGUCUACUUAGACUUUGGCAGUCAUGUUUUAAACCCUGCUAAGGUUGCAAGUGGAAACGCAUGUAGCAAAGCUGCGUGCCUGCCUGCUUUCAGCGCGAUUCAUUAUUAGGCAGUUAAGCGGGGGACCU
Alosa sapidissima (American shad) is the source of this 330-nucleotide long non-coding RNA. RefSeq lists it as uncharacterized. NCBI's taxonomy places the organism in Eukaryota, Metazoa, Chordata, Actinopteri, Clupeiformes, Clupeidae. The transcript has 3 exons. The record is from RefSeq and is a predicted model, not a curated record.